RNAcentral lists this long non-coding RNA (1270 nucleotides) under Astyanax mexicanus (Mexican tetra). Its description in RNAcentral is "lncRNA (ENSAMXG00005006283.1)". The record is from RNAcentral. Lineage: Eukaryota; Metazoa; Chordata; Actinopteri; Characiformes; Acestrorhamphidae.
GUUUUUUUUCGAGCUUUAAUUUUAUUAACGAUACGCUUCCUGAUUCUGAAUCGCGCAGACGGGACUCGGCACAGGCUUCGCGCGGCACAGGCAUUUACAGGCAUUUCGCGCGCGCGCAGUACAGGCAUCUCGCGCGGAAGAGUUUGUUUAACUAUGGAUAUUUUGCCGAAGAGGAGAGAAGAGAUUUUACAGUCUGUUUUCAAUCUCAUCUCUACAGUUGUUGAUGGAUCUCAGGAACAUUCACGUGACACAUUUCUAGAAAUUGUACAGUGCAUUAAUGAACUCUUUCAAAAUUUCCCAAAACAUGCCUAUAACAAUUCCAAUUUAACAAAUGAGGAUAGAAAAUAUGUGGAAAUAAAGCUUCAACAAAUCGAUAUUACUAAAAAUCAAAAUCAGUUUGGGUUUGCUGUAAUUAUAGACAUUAAUAAUGAUACAGUAGAGUAUACUGAGUUUGUUAAACCUAAGGAAAAAGAAGGUAACAUUGAUCGCCAUACACAGGAGACAAAAUAUCAUUGUGAAGAAAUUAUAAUCCAACAGAUUAAAGAAAAGAUUAAGAAUAGAUAUGGACUAAAAAUAAUUAUCUUCACUUAUUACAGCCCCUGCCUUUUUAAAAAGGGGGGUGUAUCUUGUAUGAGUAUGUUAACUAAAGCUGCAGAUGAUUGGAAACCUCAUAACAUAUCCACAACAGUUAUUUUUAAAGAAUAUUAUCAUCUUCAACAUUCAAUAACAAGAUUUAUUUCCAGUCUUAAUGCUGGAAAUUUAAAAGCCAUCUCUAGCUGUUCUGAUUACCGUGCAUAUGAAACAGAGGUAAGUAUACAACAUUUACCAAAGGUUGAGGAAGUUUUAUUUGUAUUAGUGAAGAAAAUUCUUAAUCUGGAUAGGAUAUUGCCAGUACAGAAGCCACUUAAAAUAGAGUGGAUAAAAAACAGAGGAACUUUGAUGAAGAAAAUUGACUCACCUGUAAAGAAGUUCUUUAUUACGUGUUUGGACAAAGACCUACAAAACUUACAAAUGUUUCCUCAAACUUUGAAUGAGUAUUAUAACCUAAUUCAACCAUUCCAUGAGUUAAAAGGUUUUUGGGUAAUGAUUUGCGAUGCAAUGUAUACAAAACAUUGCAAAGACAUAUUUAUUCAAUAUUAUAACAAGGCAAUUUUUAAUAUUUAUAAGUCAAAUGCUUUACAUGAAAAAUCUUUGCUGAUUUUAUGCUUACAAAAUGUGGAUGACCACUUUUAACGACAAUUAAAAAAAUAAAAAAACAAUUAAAAAAACA